CAUGCAAGUCGGACGGCAGCGGAGGUGCUUGCACCUGCCGGCGAGUGGCGAACGGGUGAGUAACAUAUUGGAAUGUACCGAGUAGUGGGGGAUAACCAAUCGAAAGAUUGGCUAAUACCGCAUACGUCCUAAGGGGGAAAGCAGGGGAUCUUCGGACCUUGCGCUAUUUGAGCAGCCAAUAUCUGAUUAGCUAGUUGGUGGGGUAAAGGCCCACCAAGGCGACGAUCAGUAGCGGGUCUGAGAGGAUGAUCCGCCACACUGGGACUGAGACACGGCCCAGACUCCUACGGGAGGCAGCAGUGGGGAAUUUUGGACAAUGGGGGCAACCCUGAUCCAGCCAUGCCGCGUGUCUGAAGAAGGCCUUCGGGUUGUAAAGGACUUUUGUUAGGGAAGAAAAGAGAAGUGUUAAUACCACUUUUUGCUGACGGUACCUAAAGAAUAAGCACCGGCUAA
Molecule: ribosomal RNA, 453 nt
Filed under: Kingella denitrificans
Lineage: Bacteria; Pseudomonadati; Pseudomonadota; Betaproteobacteria; Neisseriales; Neisseriaceae
Description: bacterial SSU rRNA
Rfam family: Bacterial small subunit ribosomal RNA
Source: RNAcentral